ACGCGUGGCGGCGUGCUUAACACAUGACAAGUACGAACGAAGACUAGUUUAUUACGAUCCGUUUCGGGUGGACGAUUUACUGACGUGAGGUGGCGGACGGGUGAGUAACGCGUGGGUAACCUGCCUUGUACGAGGGGACAACAGUUGGAAACGACUGCUAAUACCGCAUAAGCGCACAGCUUCGCAUGAAGCAGUGUGAAAAGUUUUUUCGGUACAAGAUGGACCCGCGUCUGAUUAGCUAGUUGGUGAGGUAACGGCUCACCAAGGCGACGAUCAGUAGCCGACCUGAGAGGGUGACCGGCCACAUUGGGACUGAGACACGGCCAAACUCCUACGGGAGGCAGCAGUGGGGAAUAUUGCACAAUGGGCGAAAGCCUGAUGCAGCGAACCGCCGCGUGAGCGAAGAAGUAUUUCGGUAUGUAAAGCUCUAUCAGCAGGGAAGAUAAUGACGGUACCUGACUAAGAAGCACCGGCUAAAUACGUGCCAGCAGCUGC
Molecule: ribosomal RNA, 495 nt
Filed under: uncultured bacterium
Lineage: Bacteria
Description: bacterial SSU rRNA
Rfam family: Bacterial small subunit ribosomal RNA
Source: RNAcentral